GAUGAACGCUGGCGGCGUGCUUAACACAUGCAAGUCGAGCGAAGCACUUUUGCGGAUUUCUUCGGAUUGAAGCAAUUGUGACUGAGCGGCGGACGGGUGAGUAACGCGUGGGUAACCUGCCUCAUACAGGGGGAUAACAGUUGGAAACGGCUGCUAAUACCGCAUAAGCGCACAGUACCGCAUGGUACGGUGUGAAAAACUCCGGUGGUAUGAGAUGGACCCGCGUCUGAUUAGCUAGUUGGUGGGGUAACGGCCUACCAAGGCGACGAUCAGUAGCCGACCUGAGAGGGUGACCGGCCACAUUGGGACUGAGACACGGCCCAAACUCCUACGGGAGGCAGCAGUGGGGAAUAUUGCACAAUGGGGGAAACCCUGAUGCAGCGACGCCGCGUGAGCGAUGAAGUAUUUCGGUAUGUAAAGCUCUAUCAGCAGGGAAGAAAAUGACGGUACCUGACUAAGAAGCCCCGGCUAACUACGUGCCAGCAGCCGCGGUAAUACGUAUGGGGCAAGCGUUAUCCGGAUUUACUGGGUGUAAAGGGAGCGUAGACGGCAUGGCAAGCCAGAUGUGAAAGCCCGGGGCUCAACCCCGGGACUGCAUUUGGAACUGUCAGGCUAGAGUGUCGGA
Molecule: ribosomal RNA, 625 nt
Filed under: uncultured Lachnospiraceae bacterium
Lineage: Bacteria; Bacillati; Bacillota; Clostridia; Lachnospirales; Lachnospiraceae
Description: bacterial SSU rRNA
Rfam family: Bacterial small subunit ribosomal RNA
Source: RNAcentral